Molecule: ribosomal RNA, 362 nt
Filed under: Macellomenia sp. ZSM Mol 20190712
Lineage: Eukaryota; Metazoa; Mollusca; Solenogastres; Pholidoskepia; Macellomeniidae
Description: partial large subunit ribosomal RNA
Source: RNAcentral
GGAUUUUAUUCUAAAUGGCCGCGGAAUUUUAACCGUGCUAAGGUAGCAUAAUCAUUUGUCUUUUAAUUGGAGACUUGUAUGAACGGUUUAACGGAGCUUAACUGUCUCUUUUAUAAUGAAUAAAAAUUAAUCUUAAAGUUAAAAAGCUUUAAUAAAAUAAAAAGACAAAAAGACCCUAUAGAGUUUUAUUUUAUAUCUAUAUACUAUAGUAAUAAAAUUUAGUUGGGGCAACUAAAGAAAAUAAAAAUUUCUUUUUAUUAAAUAAUUAUAUCUAUAGCAUUUUUUAAAUAAAUCAAAAUAAAUUACCUUAGGGAUAACAGCAUAAUAUUUCUUUGAGAGUUCAAAUCGAAAAGAAAAAUUAU